GCGGGAAUAGAUCAGUUGGUAGAGAAUAACCUUGCCAAGGUUGGGGUCGCGAGUUCGAGUCUCGUUUCCCGCUCCA
This 76-nucleotide transfer RNA is filed under the name Acinetobacter baumannii. RNAcentral's name for it is "tRNA-Gly". It matches the Rfam family "tRNA". Rfam says of the family: Transfer RNA (tRNA) molecules are approximately 80 nucleotides in length. The record is from RNAcentral. Lineage: Bacteria; Pseudomonadati; Pseudomonadota; Gammaproteobacteria; Moraxellales; Moraxellaceae.